RNAcentral lists this ribosomal RNA (461 nucleotides) under uncultured bacterium. RNAcentral's name for it is "bacterial SSU rRNA". It matches the Rfam family "Bacterial small subunit ribosomal RNA", at positions 339 to 797 of the family's 1533-position model. The record is from RNAcentral.
GUACGGGAGGCAGCAGUAAGGAAUAUUAGACAAUGGGCGCAAGCCUGAUCCAGCCAUGCCGCGUGCAGGAAGACGGUCCUAUGGAUUGUAAACUGCUUUUAUACAGGAAGAAACAACUCUACGUGUAGAGUCUUGACGGUACUGUAAGAAUAAGGAUCGGCUAACUCCGUGCCAGCAGCCGCGGUAAUACGGAGGAUCCAAGCGUUAUCCGGAAUCAUUGGGUUUAAAGGGUCCGUAGGCGGUCAAGUAAGUCAGUGGUGAAAGCCCAUCGCUCAACGGUGGAACGGCCAUUGAUACUGCUUGACUUGAAUUAUUAGGAAGUAGCUAGAAUAUGUAGUGUAGCGGUGAAAUGCUUAGAGAUUACAUGGAAUACCAAUUGCGAAGGCAGGUUACUACUAAUUGAUUGACGCUGAUGGACGAAAGCGUGGGUAGCGAACAGGAUUAGAUACCCUAGUAGUCGG